This 384-nucleotide ribosomal RNA is filed under the name uncultured bacterium. RNAcentral describes it as "bacterial SSU rRNA". It matches the Rfam family "Bacterial small subunit ribosomal RNA", at positions 32 to 400 of the family's 1533-position model. The record is from RNAcentral.
AAUCAACGCUGGCGGCGUGCCUCAGACAUGCAAGUCGAACGCGAAAGGGAACUUCGGUUCCUCAGUAGAGUGGCGAACGGGUGAGGAAUACAUGGGUAACCUACCCUCGAGUGGGGAAGUAACUAGCCGAAAGGUUAGCUAAUACCGCGUACGCUCCUUGGACUUCGGUUCAGGGAGGAAAGCGAUACCGUGGGUAUCGCGCUCUUGGAUGGGCUCAUGUCCUAUCAGCUUGUUGGUGAGGUAACGGCUCACCAAGGCUUCGACGGGUAGCUGGUCUGAGAGGACGAUCAGCCACACUGGCACUGCGACACGGGCCAGACUCCUACGGGAGGCAGCAGUAAGGAAUAUUGCGCAAUGGGCGAAAGCCUGACGCAGCGACGCCGC